RNAcentral lists this ribosomal RNA (1346 nucleotides) under Bacillus sp. (in: firmicutes). Its description in RNAcentral is "bacterial SSU rRNA". It matches the Rfam family "Bacterial small subunit ribosomal RNA", at positions 61 to 1365 of the family's 1533-position model. The record is from RNAcentral. Lineage: Bacteria; Bacillati; Bacillota; Bacilli; Caryophanales; Bacillaceae.
GUCGAGCGGACAGAUGGGAGCUUGCUCCCUGAUGUUAGCGGCGGACGGGUGAGUAACACGUGGGUAACCUGCCUGUAAGACUGGGAUAACUCCGGGAAACCGGGGCUAAUACCGGAUGCUUGAUUGAACCGCAUGGUUCAAUUAUAAAAGGUGGCUUCUGCUACCACUUACAGAUGGGCCCGCGGCGCAUUAACUAGUUGGUGAGGUAACGGCUCACCCAGGGAACCAUGCGUAACCCAACUGAAAGGGAUGAUCGGCCACACUGGGACUGAAACACGGCCCAAACUCCUACGCGAGGCAGCAGUAAGGAAUCUUCCGCAAUGGACGAAAGUCCGACGGAACAACCCCGCGUGAGUGAUGAAGGUUUUCGAAUCGUAAAACUCUGGUGGUAGGGAAGAACAAGUACCGUUCGAAUAGGGCGGUACCUUGACGGUACCUAACCAGAAAGCCACGGCUAACUACGUGCCAGCAGCCGCGGUAAUACCUAAGUGGCCAAGCGUUGUCAGGAAUUAUUGGCCGUAAAGCGCGCGCAGGCCGUUUCUUAAGUCUGAUGUGAAAGCCCCCGGCCUCAACCCGGGGAGGGGUCAUUGGAAACUGGGGAACCUGAGUGCCAGAAGAAGAGAAAUGGAAAUUCCACGUGUUAGCCGGUUGAAAUGCGUAAAGAUGUGGAGGAACACGCAGUUGCCGAAGGCGAACUCUCUUGGUCUGUAACUGACGCCUGAAGCCCGAAAGCGUGGGGGAGGCGACCAGGAUUAGAUACGCUUGGUAGUCCACGCCGUAAACGAUGAGUGCUAAGUGUUAGAAGGGUUUCCGCCCUUUAAUGCUGCAGCAAACGCAUUAAGCACUCCGCCUGGGCAGUACGGUCGCAAGACUGAAACUCAAAGGAAUUGACGGGGGCCCGCACAAGCGGUGGAGCAUGUGGUUUAAUUGGAAGCAACGCGAAGAACCUUACCAGGUCUUGACAUCUUCUGACAACCCUAGAGAUAGGGCUUCCCCUUCGGCGGCAGAGUGACAGGUGGUGCAUGGUUGUCGUCACCUCGUGGUCGUGAGAUGUUGGGUUAAGUCCCGCAACGAGGCAGCAGACCCUAUGAUUUUAGUUGCCAGCAUUCAGUUGGGCACUUUAAGGUGACUGCCGGUGACAAACCGGAGGAAGGUGGGGAUGACGUCAAAUCAUCAUGCCCCUUAUGACCUGGGCUACACACGUGCUACAAUGGGCAGAACAAAGGGCAGCGAAGCCGCGAGGUUAAGCCAAUCCCACAAAUCUGUUUUCAGUUCGGAUCGCAGUCUGCAACUGGACUGCGUGAAGCUGGAAUCGUUAGUAAUCGCGGAUCAGCAUGCCGCGGUGA